GUUAUAACCGGCGAUUUCCGAAUGGGGAAACCCAGUGUGAUUCGUCACACUAUCAUUAACUGAAUCCAUAGGUUAAUGAGGCGAACCGGGGGAACUGAAACAUCUAAGUACCCCGAGGAAAAGAAAUCAACCGAGAUUCCCCCAGUAGCGGCGAGCGAACGGGGAGCAGCCCAGAGCCUGAAUCAGUGUGUGUGUUAGUGGAAGCGUCUGGAAAGGCGUGCGAUACAGGGUGACAGCCCCGUACACAAAAAUGCACAUACUGUGAGCUCGAUGAGUAGGGCGGGACACGUGGUAUCCUGUCUGAAUAUGGGGGGACCAUCCUCCAAGGCUAAAUACUCCUGACUGACCGAUAGUGAACCAGUACCGUGAGGGAAAGGCGAAAAGAACCCCGGCGAGGGGAGUGAAAAAGAACCUGAAACCGUGUACGUACAAGCAGUGGGAGCACGCUUAGGCGUGUGACUGCGUACCUUUUGUAUAAUGGGUCAGCGACUUAUAUUCUGUAGCAAGGUUAACCGAAUAGGGGAGCCGAAGGGAAACCGAGUCUUAACUGGGCGUUAAGUUGCAGGGUAUAGACCCGAAACCCGGUGAUCUAGCCAUGGGCAGGUUGAAGGUUGGGUAACACUAACUGGAGGACCGAACCGACUAAUGUUGAAAAAUUAGCGGAUGACUUGUGGCUGGGGGUGAAAGGCCAAUCAAACCGGGAGAUAGCUGGUUCUCCCCGAAAGCUAUUUAGGUAGCGCCUCGUGAAUUCAUCUCCGGGGGUAGAGCACUGUUUCGGCAAGGGGGUCAUCCCGACUUACCAACCCGAUGCAAACUGCGAAUACCGGAGAAUGUUAUUACGGGAGACACACGGCGGGUGCUAACGUCCGUCGUGAAGAGGGAAACAACCCAGACCGCCAGCUAAGGUCCCAAAGUCAUGGUUAAGUGGGAAACGAUGUGGGAAGGCCCAGACAGCCAGGAUGUUGGCUUAGAAGCAGCCAUCAUUUAAAGAAAGCGUAAUAGCUCACUGGUCGAGUCGGCCUGCGCGGAAGAUGUAACGGGGCUAAACCAUGCACCGAAGCUGCGGCAGCGACGCUUAUGCGUUGUUGGGUAGGGGAGCGUUCUGUAAGCCUGUGAAGGUGUGCUGUGAGGUAUGCUGGAGGUAUCAGAAGUGCGAAUGCUGACAUAAGUAACGAUAAAGCGGGUGAAAAGCCCGCUCGCCGGAAGACCAAGGGUUCCUGUCCAACGUUAAUCGGGGCAGGGUGAGUCGACCCCUAAGGCGAGGCCGAAAGGCGUAGUCGAUGGGAAACAGGUUAAUAUUCCUGUACUUGGUGUUACUGCGAAGGGGGGACGGAGAAGGCUAUGUUGGCCGGGCGACGGUUGUCCCGGUUUAAGCGUGUAGGCUGGUUUUCCAGGCAAAUCCGGAAAAUCAAGGCCGAGGCGUGAUGACGAGGCACUACGGUGCUGAAGCAACAAAUGCCCUGCUUCCAGGAAAAGCCUCUAAGCAUCAGGUAACAUCAAAUCGUACCCCAAACCGACACAGGUGGUCAGGUAGAGAAUACCAAGGCGCUUGAGAGAACUCGGGUGAAGGAACUAGGCAAAAUGGUGCCGUAACUUCGGGAGAAGGCACGCUGAUACGUAGGUGAAGCGACUUGCUCGUGGAGCUGAAAUCAGUCGAAGAUACCAGCUGGCUGCAACUGUUUAUUAAAAACACAGCACUGUGCAAACACGAAAGUGGACGUAUACGGUGUGACGCCUGCCCGGUGCCGGAAGGUUAAUUGAUGGGGUUAGCGCAAGCGAAGCUCUUGAUCGAAGCCCCGGUAAACGGCGGCCGUAACUAUAACGGUCCUAAGGUAGCGAAAUUCCUUGUCGGGUAAGUUCCGACCUGCACGAAUGGCGUAAUGAUGGCCAGGCUGUCUCCACCCGAGACUCAGUGAAAUUGAACUCGCUGUGAAGAUGCAGUGUACCCGCGGCAAGACGGAAAGACCCCGUGAACCUUUACUAUAGCUUGACACUGAACAUUGAGCCUUGAUGUGUAGGAUAGGUGGGAGGCUUUGAAGUGUGGACGCCAGUCUGCAUGGAGCCGACCUUGAAAUACCACCCUUUAAUGUUUGAUGUUCUAACGUGGACCCGUGAUCCGGGUUGCGGACAGUGUCUGGUGGGUAGUUUGACUGGGGCGGUCUCCUCCUAAAGAGUAACGGAGGAGCACGAAGGUUGGCUAAUCCUGGUCGGACAUCAGGAGGUUAGUGCAAUGGCAUAAGCCAGCUUGACUGCGAGCGUGACGGCGCGAGCAGGUGCGAAAGCAGGUCAUAGUGAUCCGGUGGUUCUGAAUGGAAGGGCCAUCGCUCAACGGAUAAAAGGUACUCCGGGGAUAACAGGCUGAUACCGCCCAAGAGUUCAUAUCGACGGCGGUGUUUGGCACCUCGAUGUCGGCUCAUCACAUCCUGGGGCUGAAGUAGGUCCCAAGGGUAUGGCUGUUCGCCAUUUAAAGUGGUACGCGAGCUGGGUUUAGAACGUCGUGAGACAGUUCGGUCCCUAUCUGCCGUGGGCGCUGGAGAACUGAGGGGGGCUGCUCCUAGUACGAGAGGACCGGAGUGGACGCAUCACUGGUGUUCGGGUUGUCAUGCCAAUGGCACUGCCCGGUAGCUAAAUGCGGAAGAGAUAAGUGCUGAAAGCAUCUAAGCACGAAACUUGCCCCGAGAUGAGUUCUCCCUGACCCUUUAAGGGUCCUGAAGGAACGUUGAAGACGACGACGUUGAUAGGCCGGGUGUGUAAGCGCAGCGAUGCGUUGAGCUAACCGGUACUAAUGAACCGUGAGGCUUAACCUUACAACGCCGAAG
This 2819-nucleotide ribosomal RNA is filed under the name Shigella flexneri. RNAcentral describes it as "partial 23S ribosomal RNA". It matches the Rfam family "Bacterial large subunit ribosomal RNA". Lineage: Bacteria; Pseudomonadati; Pseudomonadota; Gammaproteobacteria; Enterobacterales; Enterobacteriaceae. The record is from RNAcentral.